Molecule: long non-coding RNA, 1005 nt
Organism: Engraulis encrasicolus (European anchovy)
Lineage: Eukaryota; Metazoa; Chordata; Actinopteri; Clupeiformes; Engraulidae
Exons: 3
Source: RefSeq, a predicted model, not a curated record
CCUUUAAGCCACAGCGGCAAUUGGCUGUGGCGCGGUGUGUCAUGUGAGUGAGGAGCACCAAUUGCUAAGGUUUUAGUUUCUUUUAAAAACGCUACACCUGCUUCAACUUGGCGUCGGCUGGUCGGUCAUCAUCUGGCUCUUUGUUCGGUUGUCACUGGGAGAGCCCGCGUCCGUAGGCAUCUGUAUUCCACGGGAUGUGGAAGCCCGCGUGGGGUUGUCUGGUCCUGCGGUGCGUCUUUUGGCCAAAAGCGUAAUCGCUUCUUGGGUCCCAGCUGAGCUGCUGGCGUGGGCAUUGGCUCAACCUCUCCUGGCAUGGUUUACCUAGCCUGUCCGUUUAACCACCGUUGCCCUUGCUGCUGUCUGCGUAGGCGAUGUGCCUCGCCCAUUCGGUAGCCUGUGAUCGUUGUAUGUAGGGCCAACGGCCCUUGACGCGCUGCUGUUUUUGUUCUCCCGACAAGUAUUGUGUACGAGUGUGUGCGUGUGGAGACUUGACGCGCGGUGCGCGCUUUGGAACUGUCCGUGCAUGGAGUGCGGUUGGAGAGUGUGUUUGGUGACGCGCGUUGAGCGCUGGGACUCUCAGUCGAGUGUGUGUGAAUGCGUGUGUACGUGUGUGUUCUAUUUCUUUUGUUUGAUUAAUUUACGUUUGAUUUCUGUUUCGUUUCUUAUUGUAUUGAUGUAUUGUGUGUUGGCCGUGUCGGGUACACCACACACCUGUAACUGGUCAGUAGGACCACAGUAGCUUCUCACGUGCAGUGCUUAGGCCUUAUGCCGAGUGUAACUUUGUGUGCUGUGUUAAUGAUUCACUUCCAUGCAUGCUUAUAUUCAACUAGAUGUGCUUGCUGUGCUAAUUGUGUGUUACAUCGUGUUAACUUGUACUGAAGCUACUCAGUAGGGGAAACCUAAGCCAACUCAUUAUUGUGUGACUACCUGUCCCGCGCCAAUGUACUUUUUGUUUAUUUUGUGGUCUUAAUUAACGUUGUAUUUUAUACGUCCUGAAGUAUUAAA